This is a long non-coding RNA of Calidris pugnax (ruff), 433 nucleotides long. RefSeq lists it as uncharacterized. The transcript is spliced from 3 exons. NCBI's taxonomy places the organism in Eukaryota, Metazoa, Chordata, Aves, Charadriiformes, Scolopacidae. The record is from RefSeq and is a predicted model, not a curated record.
CUGGUGAUGUUACUGCAACAAGACCCACUGACAGGCUUUGGCCAGACCCUGCUGUCCUGUCUGAUUCACCACAGAGUGCACAAAGGAGGAUCUUCAGCAAGGUUUGCUCUGAAAGAGUUAAUGCAUUUUACAAGGAAAGCUGCCAUCCCUCAAGGUCAUUUUAUCUCUUAGUUACAUGAAUUCUAGGAAAGCAAAGAUUCCUUCCAAGACCCUCCAGAAAAGUGGACCUACCUUGAAGACCUGAGCCCUUCCGAGGAUGGGAGAUGCUACUAAUAGAUGGAAAUUGUGGAUGCAAAUCCUUUCAUGUUGGAUGAAACUCCACAUUGAGAGGCUUGAGGAAUGAAGCUACUGGAGAAAUUGAAAAGGAUGACUCCUGGUACCCAAGUGGAAGAUGGAAGCUAAACUUUGUCUAAUCAAGACUCUAUGAAAUGGG